CGUGAAAUUGUUGAAAGGGAAGCGUUUAUGACCAGACUUGGACUUGGUUAAUCAUCUGGGGUUCUCCCCAGUGCACUUUUCCAGUUCAGGCCAGCAUCAGUUUUCCCCGGGGGAUAAAGGCGGCGGGAAUGUGGCUCUCUUCGGGGAGUGUUAUAGCCCGCCGUGUAAUACCUUGGGGGGGACUGAGGUUCGCGCAUCUGCAAGGAUGCUGGCGUAAUGGUCAUCAACGACCCGUCUUGAAACACGG
This 247-nucleotide ribosomal RNA is filed under the name Fusarium sp. Its description in RNAcentral is "partial large subunit ribosomal RNA". It matches the Rfam family "Eukaryotic large subunit ribosomal RNA", at positions 398 to 664 of the family's 3401-position model. The record is from RNAcentral. Lineage: Eukaryota; Fungi; Ascomycota; Sordariomycetes; Hypocreales; Nectriaceae.